Myotis lucifugus (little brown bat) is the source of this 109-nucleotide ribosomal RNA. Lineage: Eukaryota; Metazoa; Chordata; Mammalia; Chiroptera; Vespertilionidae. The record is from Ensembl.
UCUACGGCCAUACCACCCUGAACGCGCCCGAUCUCGUCUGAUCUCGGAAGCUAAGCAGGGUCGGGCCUGGUUAGUACUUGGAUGGGAGAGUGACUUUGGACCGUCAGAA